AACGAACGCUGGCGGCAUGCCUAACACAUGCAAGUCGAACGGGAUCCUGGUUUCGGCCAGGUGAGAGUGGCGGACGGGUGGGUAACGCGUGGGAACCUGCCCAGUGGUGGGGGAUAACUGCGGGAAACUGCAGCUAAUACCGCAUGAGCCCGCAAGGGGAAAGAUUGAUCGCCAUUGGAGGGGCCCGCGUUCGAUUAGGUAGUUGGUGAGGUAACGGCUCACCAAGCCUACGAUCGAAGCUGGUCUGAGAGGAUGAUCAGCCACACUGGGACUGAGAUACGGCCCAGACUCCUACGGGAGGCAGCAGUGGGGAAUAUUGGACAAUGGGGGCAACCCUGAUCCAGCAAUGCCGCGUGAGU
This 359-nucleotide ribosomal RNA is filed under the name uncultured bacterium. RNAcentral's name for it is "bacterial SSU rRNA". It matches the Rfam family "Bacterial small subunit ribosomal RNA", at positions 29 to 406 of the family's 1533-position model. The record is from RNAcentral.